RNAcentral lists this ribosomal RNA (744 nucleotides) under uncultured bacterium. Its description in RNAcentral is "bacterial SSU rRNA". It matches the Rfam family "Bacterial small subunit ribosomal RNA", at positions 8 to 796 of the family's 1533-position model. The record is from RNAcentral.
AGAGUUUGAUCAUGGCUCAGAGCGAACGCUGGCGGCAGGCUUAACACAUGCAAGUCGAGCGGGCGUAGCAAUACGUCAGCGGCAGACGGGUGAGUAACGCGUGGGAACAUACCUUUUGGUUCGGAACAACACAGGGAAACUUGUGCUAAUACCGGAUAAGCCCUUACGGGGAAAGAUUUAUCGCCGAAAGAUUGGCCCGCGUCUGAUUAGCUAGUUGGUGAGGUAACGGCUCACCAAGGCGACGAUCAGUAGCUGGUCUGAGAGGAUGAUCAGCCACAUUGGGACUGAGACACGGCCCAAACUCCUACGGGAGGCAGCAGUGGGGAAUAUUGGACAAUGGGCGCAAGCCUGAUCCAGCCAUGCCGCGUGAGUGAUGAAGGCCCUAGGGUUGUAAAGCUCUUUUGUGCGGGAAGAUAAUGACGGUACCGCAAGAAUAAGCCCCGGCUAACUUCGUGCCAGCAGCCGCGGUAAUACGAAGGGGGCUAGCGUUGCUCGGAAUCACUGGGCGUAAAGGGUGCGUAGGCGGGUCUUUAAGUCAGGGGUGAAAUCCUGGAGCUCAACUCCAGAACUGCCUUUGAUACUGAAGAUCUUGAGUUCGGGAGAGGUGAGUGGAACUGCGAGUGUAGAGGUGAAAUUCGUAGAUAUCCGCAAGAACACCAGUGGCGAAGGCGGCUCACUGGCCCGAUACUGACGCUGAGGCACGAAAGCGUGGGGAGCAAACAGGAUUAGAUACCCUAGUAGUCC